UGGGGAAUUUUGGACAAUGGGGGCAACCCUGAUCCAGCCAUUCCGCGUGAGUGAAGAAGGCCUUCGGGUUGUAAAGCUCUUUCGCAAGGGAAGAAAACUUAUGAUCGAAUAAAUCAUGAGGUUGACGGUACCUUGAUAAGAAGCACCGGCUAACUACGUGCCAGCAGCCGCGGUAAUACGUAGGGUGCGAGCGUUAAUCGGAAUUACUGGGCGUAAAGCGUGCGCAGGCGGUUUUGUAAGUCGGAUGUGAAAUCCCCGGGCUCAACCUGGGAACUGCGUUCGAAACUGCAAGGCUAGAGUGUGUCAGAGGGGGGUAGAAUUCCACGUGUAGCAGUGAAAUGCGUAGAGAUGUGGAGGAAUACCAAUGGCGAAGGCAGCCCCCUGGGAUAACACUGACGCUCAUGCACGAAAGCGUGGGGAGCAAACAGG
Molecule: ribosomal RNA, 429 nt
Filed under: uncultured bacterium
Lineage: Bacteria
Also listed under: 1 other name
Description: bacterial SSU rRNA
Rfam family: Bacterial small subunit ribosomal RNA
Source: RNAcentral